ACUCCUACGGGAGGCAGCAGUGGGGAAUAUUGGACAAUGGGCGCAAGCCUGAUCCAGCCAUGCCGCGUGAGUGAUGAAGGCCUUAGGGUUGUAAAGCUCUUUUGCCGGGGACGAUAAUGACGGUACCCGGAGAAUAAGUCCCGGCUAACUUCGUGCCAGCAGCCGCGGUAAU
Molecule: ribosomal RNA, 172 nt
Filed under: uncultured Hyphomicrobium sp.
Lineage: Bacteria; Pseudomonadati; Pseudomonadota; Alphaproteobacteria; Hyphomicrobiales; Hyphomicrobiaceae
Description: partial 16S ribosomal RNA
Rfam family: Bacterial small subunit ribosomal RNA
Source: RNAcentral